Transfer RNA from Camelus ferus (Wild Bactrian camel), 71 nucleotides. It matches the Rfam family "tRNA". Rfam says of the family: Transfer RNA (tRNA) molecules are approximately 80 nucleotides in length. The record is from Rfam. Lineage: Eukaryota; Metazoa; Chordata; Mammalia; Artiodactyla; Camelidae.
GUGGGUAUAGCUCAGUGUAGGGUGACUGCUUAGCAUGCAUGAAGUCCUGGGUUCAAUCCCCAGUACUUCCA